GAUGAACGCUGGCAAUAUGCUUUAGACAUGCAAGUCUAAUUAUACUCUUAAUAGAGCAUAAUGGCGUACGGGUGAGUAAUGUAUGAGAACUUUUACUAAAGAGGAACAUAAGUUUUAGAAAUGAAAUGUAAUAUUCCAUAAUCCUUUUAAUAAAGGUGAAAGAUUGAUUCGCUUUUGAAGAGGCUCAUAUUUGAUUAGCUAGUUGUUGAGGUAACGGCUCAACAAGGCGAUGAUCAAUAGCUGGUCUGAGAGGACGAUCAGCCACAUUGGAACUGAAACAAGGUCCAAACUCCUACGGGAGGCAGCAGUCGGGAAUAUUCUGCAAUGAGCGAAAGCUUGACAGAGCAACAUUGCGUGAGGGAGGAAGAUUUUUUAUAAUUGUAAACCUCUUUUAAGGGAGAAGAAAAAAUGACACUAUCUCUUGAAUAAGUAUCGGUUAACUUCGUGCCAGCAGCCGCGGUAAGACGAGGGAUGCAAGCGUUAUCCGGAAUUAUUGGGCGUAAAAGGUCCGUAGACGGCCUUAUAAGUUUUAAUGCUUUAUAACUUUUGUAUUAAAAUACUGUUUGGCUUGAGAUUUAAGCAUAGGUAAGAGGAAUCCUUGAAGUAAUGGUGAAAUAUGUUGAUAUCAAGGAGAACACUAAAAGCGAAAGCGUCUUUACUAGGUUUUAUCUGACGUUGAUGGACGAAAGCUAAGGGAGCAAAUGGGAUUAGAUACCCCAGUAGUCUUAGCCGUAAACGUUGAGUAUUAAACUUUUCAAUUGCAACUUUUUGGGGGGCACUGACAUUUCUUUCCAGAAAUGUAUACUUAAGGAAGGUUAAAGCUAACGCGUUAAAUACUCUGCCUGGGGAUUGUGCUCGCAAGAGUUAAACUCAAAGGAAUUGACGGGGGCUCGCACAAGCGGUGGAGCAUGUGGUUUAAUUCGAUGUAACGCGAAAAACCUUACCAGUUUUUAUAAGGUAUUUAAUUCUUUGAAAAAAGAAUUUUAAAAGCCUUACAGGUGGUGCAUGGCUGUCGUCAGUUCGUGUCGUGAGAUGUUUGGUUCAAUCCUUAAACGGACGUAACCCUCUCUUUUGUUAAAAAUACAAAAGGAAGAAUAAUUAAACAAUUAUUGGAAGCGGAGGAGGACGUCAAGUCAGUAUGUCCCUUAUGAACUGGGCUACACACGUGCUACAAUGGAUAAUACAAUAUUUUUUAAUUACUAAAAUUAUUCUUAGUCCGGAUUGUUUGUUGAAACUCACAAACAUGAAGAUGGAAUCGCUAGUAAUCGCUAGUCAGCAGCAUAGCGGUGAAUAUGUUCUCGAGCCCUGCACUCACCGC
RNAcentral lists this ribosomal RNA (1318 nucleotides) under uncultured bacterium. RNAcentral describes it as "bacterial SSU rRNA". It matches the Rfam family "Bacterial small subunit ribosomal RNA", at positions 28 to 1393 of the family's 1533-position model. The record is from RNAcentral.